RNAcentral lists this long non-coding RNA (720 nucleotides) under Piliocolobus tephrosceles (Ugandan red Colobus). RNAcentral's name for it is "lncRNA (ENSPTEG00000031711.1)". The record is from RNAcentral. Lineage: Eukaryota; Metazoa; Chordata; Mammalia; Primates; Cercopithecidae.
GAGGCCCAGAGACCCAGAGCAAAAAGGGAGUGAGACGCUGCCCAGUACAGACCGAUGCACAGACACGGACACCAGGGAGCAGGGCCACGCCCACACGCAGGUGCCCAGAAACCCUCAGUCUUCAUGGCAAGGCCUCGGGCUGUUCUGAGCCAAGCCAGCACUGCAGCACACAGGCAGGCCAGCCUGGGCCCAACGCGUGUGGGGGCCGUCCCUGCACCACCACCACUCAAUGGAACACAGCAGCUGGCAGCAGCAGGCACAGUCCAGAGAGCAGAGCAUGGUGAGUCCUCCGUGAGAAGCCGACAGUUCCUGCAGGUCCACCAAGGCCCGGUCACAUCAGGAGGCUUCAGAGGCAGCAGAUGUGUCGUAUCUUUGGCCCACGAGACGUCUUUGAUGUCACCAAUUACUAAUGGGGAAACUGAGGCCAGAGAGCAAGGAGGCUUGUCCAAGGCACCCAGAUUGGGAGAGCAGGGUGGGGCCCCUGCGUCCUGGUCGCCAGGCCUGCUGCCUCCCCACCACCUCUCCCUUACAUUGCUUCUGGGCCUCACCCAGCACAGAAACUGGAAUUUGGGAGGUCCGUGCCCCACGCAUGACUCAAGGCUUGGUGAGAAGCAGACGUGUGUGGACUCACGACCUGGCCCCUCACACCAGGUCCAGCGUGUUUCUUCUCUGGGAAGAAACAUGCUUCAGGUGCACCACGGGGGGGUCUUGCCAAGGUGA